CCCUUAGAUGUUCUGGGCUGCACGCGCGCUACACUGACACACUCAGCGAGUCUCCUGGCCCGAGAGGGUUGGGUAAUCAUGUGAGCGUGUGUCGUGAUGGGGAUAGAAUAUUGUAAUUAUUACUCUUCAACGAGGAAUUCCUAGUAAGCGCGAGUCAGCAGCUCGCGCUGAUUACGUCCCUGCCCUUUGUACACACCGCCCGUCGCUCCUACCGAUUGAGUGUUCCGGUGAAUAAUUCGGACUGCAGCAGCGUGGGGACUCCUCAUGCUGCAGCGGAAAGUUUGGUGAACCUUAACACUUAGAGGAAGGAGAAGUCGUANCA
Molecule: ribosomal RNA, 322 nt
Filed under: uncultured eukaryote
Lineage: Eukaryota
Description: partial 18S ribosomal RNA
Rfam family: Eukaryotic small subunit ribosomal RNA
Source: RNAcentral